UGUAUAUUGAAGUUUUUGGU
Molecule: non-coding RNA, 20 nt
Filed under: Arabidopsis thaliana (thale cress)
Lineage: Eukaryota; Viridiplantae; Streptophyta; Magnoliopsida; Brassicales; Brassicaceae
Source: RNAcentral